AGGCCUUUGGCGCAAAGGUAGCGCGUCCGCCUCCUAAGCGGAAGGCUGUGGGUUCGAGUCCCAUGAGGCCUG
This 72-nucleotide transfer RNA is filed under the name Pyricularia oryzae 70-15. RNAcentral's name for it is "tRNA-Arg (CCT) (tRNA-Arg-CCT-1-1)". It matches the Rfam family "tRNA". Rfam says of the family: Transfer RNA (tRNA) molecules are approximately 80 nucleotides in length. The record is from RNAcentral. Lineage: Eukaryota; Fungi; Ascomycota; Sordariomycetes; Magnaporthales; Pyriculariaceae. RNAcentral also lists the same sequence under 6 other names.